CCCUUAGAUGUUCUGGGCAGCACGCGCGCUACAAUGGUCUUCGCAAACGGAUGCAUUCUCGAAGGAGAAUGCCAAUCUUGGAAUCUAUGCCUUGGUCGGGACAGUUGCUUGCAAUUUUUCGACUCGAACCAGGAAUUCCUUGUAAUCGUGAUUCAUCACAUCACGAUGAAUACGUCCCCUUUGUACACACCGCCCGUCGCUCCUACCGAUCGAAGAGUUAGGUGAAUUGUUUUGAUCGAUAAGAUUUGACUAUGGUCAACUCUCGUUGUGAAAUUCUGUGAAUCUGACUGUUUAGAGGAAGGAAAAGUCGUAACA
This 315-nucleotide ribosomal RNA is filed under the name uncultured eukaryote. RNAcentral's name for it is "partial 18S ribosomal RNA". It matches the Rfam family "Eukaryotic small subunit ribosomal RNA", at positions 1470 to 1796 of the family's 1831-position model. The record is from RNAcentral.